This 59-nucleotide transfer RNA is filed under the name Neolamprologus christyi. RNAcentral's name for it is "tRNA, Pro". The record is from RNAcentral. Lineage: Eukaryota; Metazoa; Chordata; Actinopteri; Cichliformes; Cichlidae.
UCCUAAAUUAGACUAUUCCUUGCCGGGCUCUGCCNUUGAUGUAAGCGCAGUGCAUAUAU